AGAUUGAACGCUGGCGGCGUGCUUAACACAUGCAAGUCGAGCGGUAACAGGCGUAGCAAUACGUGCUGACGAGCGGCGAACGGGUGCGUAAUACAUGGGAAUCUGCCGUUUUAGUGGGGAAUAACCCGGCGAAAGCCGGGCUAAUGCCGCAUAAGAUCUUCGGAUGAAAGCGGGGGAUCGUAAGACCUCGCGCUGAUAGAUGAGCCCA
Molecule: ribosomal RNA, 208 nt
Filed under: uncultured soil bacterium
Lineage: Bacteria
Description: partial 16S ribosomal RNA
Rfam family: Bacterial small subunit ribosomal RNA
Source: RNAcentral